RNAcentral lists this ribosomal RNA (275 nucleotides) under uncultured Bryobacter sp. RNAcentral describes it as "partial 16S ribosomal RNA". It matches the Rfam family "Bacterial small subunit ribosomal RNA", at positions 338 to 630 of the family's 1533-position model. Lineage: Bacteria; Pseudomonadati; Acidobacteriota; Terriglobia; Bryobacterales; Bryobacteraceae. The record is from RNAcentral.
CCUACGGGUGGCUGCAGUGGGGAAUCUUGCACAAUGGAGGAAACUCUGAUGCAGCGACGCCGCGUGGACGACGAAGCCCUUCGGGGUGUAAAGUCCUUUCGACCGGAACGAUAAUGACGGUACCGGUGGAAGAAGCUGCGGCUAACUACGUGCCAGCAGCCGCGGUAAUACGUAGGCAGCAAGCGUUGUUCGGAAUUAUUGGGCGUAAAGAGCUCGUAGGCGGUUUGCCAAGUUUGGUGUGAAAUCUCCCGGCUUAACUGGGAGGGUGCGCCGAA